UACUAUGCUUUUGAAAGUACGGAGCCCUCCAUACUUUCAGGUUAUUUUUGAUGUUGCGAAUUUUGAAUCGUCAAUCGGCUCCGUUAAACUUGAUCUAGAGUAUUUGAAGUACCUAGAAAAUAAAUUUUAUGAUUUUUCGAUAUCGUUUGCCUUGUGAUCGAAGGGGCUCAAAAUUAAUAAUUUUAAUGGUCGUAGUGAGCUGUUUGCAAGUUUAACAGUGUAGAAAUACCCAAAUCACGUAAAAUUUUGAUAGAAAAUUCUUUAUACUAUAUAAAACAAGAUCAAUAUCUUUGAUCUAAAAUUUUAAUGUCAUCACGUUUUGUAAGAUUUUUAUUUUCAGCCGUUGAUUUUGAGCCCCUUNAGAGAGAGAGAGAGAGAGAGAGAGAGAGAGAGAGAGUGAGUGAGAGAGAGUUGAGCUAGGAUACUUCUACAAGUACCAAAGAGGUGGUGCUUUUGAGUUUUAAGGCAUUGGAUGAAAAAAUAUAGGGUUGGGAUGAUGAUGGUAGAUGGUGGUAGGUGGAAUAGUGUUUGAUCCAAAGGCUAUUAAUAAUCAAGGAGUAGAUCAAAGGACUAAAAACUUAGAAGCACCAAAGAGGUGGUGCUUUUAAAAGAAUUCUAGCUCAAUUCUAUAUAUAUCACUACAACAAAAACAGUCUAUAGCGACACUUUUAAAUGUCGGUACAGGUUAAAAAAAAGUGCUGCUGGCUAAAUUACCGACACUUUUAAAAAGUGUUGCUAUAUGUGGGGUCGCUAGGUAUAUAGUGACAGCUAAAGAGUGUUGCUAUAACCUAAAAAGAGUGCUGCUAAUUUAUCAAUAUUUAUUUAAGUAUUUAGCAACCGCCGGAACUCUACCUCGUUCGCUACGGUGGCGGAGGAGGACGAGAGGAAGGGAUCUUCAUCUAGGAUUUCAGUCGAUUGAGUAAGGGAAGAAGGGGAAAUGGUAAUCGAUUUUUUUUUUCUUUUUCAUUUAUGUUUUUAAUCGGGCCGAAUGGGUUGCGUGGGGUGGGUUGAAUAAAGUAACCUUUUAUUUUUGAUUAGAUUAGACUUUAUAUUUAGGCAUUAGUAGAUUUUUUUAAAAGUUUUGGUAUAAAUGGGACACUCACACAAAAGUGUCCCAAACACGUGUCCCUAUAAUCUAAUUCUGUUGUAGUGUAUAUAUAUAUAUAUAUUAUAAUACAUAUCAUGCAUACUAACCUAACAUUAUCAUGUCAAUUA
This 1215-nucleotide long non-coding RNA is filed under the name Ananas comosus (pineapple). Its description in RNAcentral is "long non-coding RNA (ACOM_LNC027542)". Lineage: Eukaryota; Viridiplantae; Streptophyta; Magnoliopsida; Poales; Bromeliaceae. The record is from RNAcentral.